RNAcentral lists this ribosomal RNA (895 nucleotides) under Parmelia sulcata. RNAcentral describes it as "LSU rRNA". It matches the Rfam family "Eukaryotic large subunit ribosomal RNA", at positions 33 to 943 of the family's 3401-position model. Lineage: Eukaryota; Fungi; Ascomycota; Lecanoromycetes; Lecanorales; Parmeliaceae. The record is from RNAcentral.
ACUAAGCAUAUCAAUAAGCGGAGGAAAAGAAACCAACAGGGAUUGCCUCAGUAACGGCGAGUGAAGCGGCAUCAGCUCAGAUUUGAAAUCUGGCCCCAUCGAGGUCCGAGUUGUAAUCUGUAGAGAGUGCUUCGGGUGAGACCACGGUCUAAGUCCAUUGGAACAUGGCGUCACAGAGGGUGAGAAUCCCGUAUGUGACUGUGGCUCGAGCCCAUGUGAAGCCUCUUCGACGAGUCGAGUUGUUUGGGAAUGCAGCUCAAAAUGGGUGGUAAAUUUCAUCUAAAGCUAAAUACUGGCUGGAGACCGAUAGCGCACAAGUAGAGUGAUCGAAAGAUGAAAAGCACUUUGGAAAGAGAGUCAAACAGUACGUGAAAUUGUUGAAAGGGAAGCGCUGGCAACCAGACCUGUCCGUAGGUGAUCAGCCGCUGUUUUCAGUGGUGCACUCGCUCUACGAUCAGGCCAGCAUCGGUUCUGGCGGUCGGAUAAAGGCCUUGGGAAUGUAGCUUCCUCUCGGGGGAGUCUUAUAGCCCUCGGUGCAAUGCGGCCAGCCGGGACCGAGGACCGCGCUUCGGCUAGGAUGCUGGCGUAAUGGUUGUCAGCGACCCGUCUUGAAACACGGACCAAGGAGUCUAACAUCUAUGCGAGUGUUUGGGUGUCAAACCCAUGCGCGGAAUGAAAGUGAACGGAGGUGAGAACCCUUAAGGGCGCAUCAUCGACCGAUCCAGAUGUCUUCGGAUGGAUUUGAGUAUGAGCAUAAAUGUUGGGACCCGAAAGAUGGUGAACUAUGCCUGAAUAGGGUGAAGCCAGAGGAAACUCUGGUGGAGGCUCGCAGCGGUUCUGACGUGCAAAUCGAUCGUCAAAUUUGGGUAUAGGGGCGAAAGACUAAUCGAACCAU